Small nucleolar RNA from Acomys russatus (golden spiny mouse), 112 nucleotides. RefSeq annotates it as small nucleolar RNA SNORA3/SNORA45 family. The record is from RefSeq and is a predicted model, not a curated record. Lineage: Eukaryota; Metazoa; Chordata; Mammalia; Rodentia; Muridae. The transcript has a single exon.
AAGCCUAGAGUCAAGCUUAAGUGUUGCUUGUUGCCUUAGCUUGCUAGAGUCCUCGAAGAAUAACUGCUGACCUUAUUCACUGGCACAGUCGGUCACCAGGUUAAAGACACAU